Sebastes umbrosus (honeycomb rockfish) is the source of this 153-nucleotide long non-coding RNA. RefSeq lists it as uncharacterized. The transcript is spliced from 3 exons. NCBI's taxonomy places the organism in Eukaryota, Metazoa, Chordata, Actinopteri, Perciformes, Sebastidae. The record is from RefSeq and is a predicted model, not a curated record.
GAGAAAUUUGCCAUGUCGGCAACACUGACAGUCCGUCCCUUCAGGCCUCCCUCCAAAGCCACUCUCCCACAAUUAUCAUAAUUAAGGUAAACAAGGAACAUGACUAUUGUUAGUACCCACAGCUGUCAAGCUAGCAGCUUGUGGCAGACUCCG